This is a long non-coding RNA of Homo sapiens (human), 3330 nucleotides long. Ensembl annotates it as FOXF1 adjacent non-coding developmental regulatory RNA. Its record names the gene FENDRR. Lineage: Eukaryota; Metazoa; Chordata; Mammalia; Primates; Hominidae. The record is from Ensembl.
AGACAGCGCGGGCUGGGAGCGCCGGCAAGGGCGGCCCUCGCGCACCUGGCUGCCAGCCCGCAGGGGGCUCGCACGCAGACCUGCCCUUGCCACCUCAGCGCUCGGGUGCGGGCUGGGGGCGGUGGAGCCACGAAAGGUGGUGCCGAGAGCGGAGCGCAGGACAGCGCAGGAGCCCCGGCGCAUCGCGGCGCGCACAGACCCAGGAUUUGUGAAGAGGUGACCCAAAUUUCAAGACAAUGUUGGAUGCAAACGGAUUUGCCAGCAACUGCAUCACUGUCAAAACCAGCUCUGCCCGUGUCUUCCGAAGAUACCAAGUGAAAUACAUGUAGAUGGGAUUUACAUCUGAAAAACCAAGUGAGAAACUGAAGACCAGAGAGGGUGAGUGGUUUACUCAGUUUGGCACAACUGACCCCAACCUAGCCCUCCAUGAGGACUGAGCGCAUGAGAGAUCCUGAGCCACAGCCGCCCAGCCCUGCUCCUCUCGAAUUUCUGACCUACAGGAACUGCAAGAAGUAAUGAAAGACUGCUGUUUAAAGCCACUGCAUUUUGGCAUGAUUUGUUAUGCAGUCGUAGAUAACCAGAAAACAUCGGAUUUACAUUUUAAGGAUUACUUCAUGCACAUAAAAGAAAACGCAACUACAGUGGACCCUGAACAACGUAGGAAACAGAGAAGCAAAGAAGUUAGCAAGCUUGUUUUGGCAGAAGAAAAAACACAAAAUACCCAACCACAGAUCCUCAAAAAUAUUGCUAAGCACUAAUUUUGCUAACAUGUUAGACAGCCUUCGGAUCUAGGCAAUCUUGUUCCUCAGCUGGAAAGAGUUCCUGCCAGCCAUGUGAUUCCAAAUCCACCCUGGACAUAUGGGGAUAAUGAGAAAAUCAGCUCCGGCCUUCCCUGGCCUUCCAGCCAAGUGAAUGGGGGCAUCCCCUGGUGCUUCAGCCCGGGGCCCACCCAGAGGAUGCUAGCUGGCCUGCAGAGGCCUCAACCAUGCCCUCCUGGACUCAGGUAAGACUGAGGUUUCCAUGCCCUCAAAACAAUUGUUCAGACAAAAACUCACUGCCCAGGUCAAAGUCACAGCACCAGAAAGCCAACCUGAGGAUGAAGACAAAGCUCUUUGUUGGCACAGUCCCCUGAUCAUUCGAGGUCAGCAUCUCCAUCAAAAUGGACCCAAUGCUGAGGCAAGAAGGAGAACAUCACUGUUAAGAAGGUAAUGAGUCACAAAUGCUAUUUCGAUGGUUUUCUUUGAAAGAAAUACACAGAACCAAACCAAUUUUAAUUAAAGAUCUUGUCUUUGUAAUCAGGCAGCCACAAAUGAAGGCAAAACUGCUUUCAUGUGGCAUAAUAUACACAGAGCUGAACUAGUUUUCCCAUAAAAGGGCAGGUUCUUUUCUUCAAAUAAGAAAAGAGUUUGUUCCUAACAAUAUGGGGGAUGCAACAGAAAGCUGUCUUUUGCAAAGUAUAAAAUUGCAGAUCCUCCCGUGGAAGCCAUUUCUUGAUGCUAAACCAAUGCGAACGUUUGCCAAACGCACAUGCGAGCCGGGAUUAUCCUACCCUUUGAGAUUAGACAUGUGAUCCUGAUUUUUAAGUGAAAAACGCAGCCAGAGGCCAAAUAAACAUACCUACAAGUACAUCGAAAGCUCAAAUGGUUGAGAAAUGAUUGUAACACACCCCGGUGUGUAUUUCUGAGGAAGAAUCAACAUGCACAUGGAAAUUGAUGUUUUGAUUUUUAAUUUUAAAACGACGACAGAACUGAAAUACCUCCCCUAACUAGGUCCACUGAAACCAGUGAGGAGAUAAUCAUUUUCAGUUAAAUAUGCAUGUAAUUUAAUAAUCCACAGAUGGAAAAUGCAUUUGAGGUGGACUGAACACAGCCAGGAGUUUUUGCUUAUCGACAGCACUGAAUCCUGCCUUGACUAGAGAGACUCGUCAUGUGAUCAACUGUGGCCAGAGGGCAUCCUGCAGACAGCUCCUGUCACACCACACUGACCAGACUCUUAUGAGUAUUUAAGCAUCUUCAGGGAAGCGAUUGACUGUCUUAUAAUGGUCUUACAAGUACGGAACUUUAUUACCUGCUAAUAAUCAGAGCACAUGAUGGCACAAUAGAAUAUACGAGUGAAGUUCUAAAUGCAAGGUUGUUCUUAUUCUGUGAGUGGCAAAACUCAUGCAGUGAGCAGAUAAAGCUGGCAGGAGGCAUUGGCGCCCUAAUGCUGGGCACUAACCACCUGCCCGGACUGCGAAUAUCUGUUGGGUCCUUUCUAUAUCUGGUCUAUUCUCGUGUUUGAUUAUAUCCUGGUGGCAAGAAUAGCAAAAUCAACUCUCCUUCCUAUCCCAUGUGGAGAGGCAUGAUUUGAGUCAGAGAGCAUUAUCCUCUCUGCGUUAUCCAACCCCAUGUCCCAUGAUGCACUUUGUAGACAAGCAAGUGUCCCUGGUGGAGAAUCCACAGCCACACAUCCUCAUUGGUUGCAAGGAUCAGUGUCCAAUAUCUACUGCCAUGAUCAUUCUCAGUUUUACAUCCACAGAGCUUCAUAGAAUUCUAACACCACAGGUCCAAGUAGAGGUUUUGGCCUCAGAGUGGGCUAGAUUCCACCUCUGACAGCAGCUGUGGGACUGUUUUUCCAUCUGUAAAAUGGAGACAAGAGUAUCACCUACCUCAUGGUGUUGGUGGGAUCGUUAAACAGAAUUCCGAUCAUGAAACCCUUAGCCUGCUCCCUGCAUAGGCUGCAUGCGCUCAGUGAGCUAUGGCUCUGUUUCAUGCUGACUUUACCAUCAUGUAAGCAGUUUUAAAAAUGCUAGAAGCUUUAGUCAUAGAAUUACCAUAUGAUACAGCCUACUGCAGAGUCCAGAGGCUGAGGCAGGAGAGUUACUUGAACCUGGGAGGCGGAGGUUGCAGUGAGCCAAGAUCGCGCCACUGCACUCCAGCCUGGGCAACAGAGUGAGAUUCUGUCUCAACACAAAAAAGAAGACAUGUGUCCCCAUCACAGUAUCAUACAGAGUGCUUCCACUGCCCUAAAAUACCCUGUGCUCUUCCUAUUCAUCCCUCUCUUCAACCCCAGCAACCACUGAUCCUUUUACCAUCUCCAUGGUUUUGCCUUUCCCAGAAUGUCAUAUUGUUGGAAUCAUACGCUAUGUAGCCUUUGCAAAUGGGCUUCUUUCACCGAGCAAUGUGCAUUGAAGGUGCCUCUAUGACUUUUCAAGGGUUGAUAGCUCAUUCCUUUUUAUUGCUAAAUAAUAUUCCAUUGUCUGAAUGUACCACAUUUUGUUUAUCCAUUCACCUACUAAAGGACAUCUUGGUUGCUUCCAAGUUUGGGCAAUUAUAAAUAAAACUGCUAUAA